Molecule: ribosomal RNA, 254 nt
Filed under: uncultured bacterium
Lineage: Bacteria
Description: partial 16S ribosomal RNA
Rfam family: Bacterial small subunit ribosomal RNA
Source: RNAcentral
UACGUAGGGUGCGAGCGUUAAUCGGAAUUACUGGGCGUAAAGCGUGCGCAGGCGGUUGUGCAAGACAGAUGUGAAAUCCCCGGGCUUAACCUGGGAAUUGCAUUUGUGACUGCACGGCUAGAGUGUGUCAGAGGGGGGUAGAAUUCCACGUGUAGCAGUGAAAUGCGUAGAUAUGUGGAGGAAUACCGAUGGCGAAGGCAGCCCCCCUGGGAUAACACUGACGCUCAUGCACGAAAGCGUGGGGAGCAAACAGG